Molecule: non-coding RNA, 133 nt
Organism: Nelumbo nucifera (sacred lotus)
Lineage: Eukaryota; Viridiplantae; Streptophyta; Magnoliopsida; Proteales; Nelumbonaceae
Source: Rfam
AAGAUAAGGGCCAGCCAAGUUAGCCAAGGAACUUGCCUAUCAACCAUGCAAGGGAUUCUAAGAUGAGGUAAGAGCUCAGGCCCUUGCAAGGACAUAGGCAAGUCAUCCUUGGCUACCAAACAAACCCUUAAAU